UGGGUGAUCUGCCCUGCACUUUGGGAUAAGCCUGGGAAACUGGGUCUAAUACCGAAUACACCCUGCUGGUCGCAUGGCCUGGUGGGGGAAAGCUUUUGCGGUGUGGGAUGGGCCCGCGGCCUAUCAGCUUGUUGGUGGGGUGACGGCCCACCAAGGCGACGACGGGUAGCCGGCCUGAGAGGGCGACCGGCCACACUGGGACUGAGACACGGCCCAGACUCCUACGGGAGCA
RNAcentral lists this ribosomal RNA (232 nucleotides) under uncultured bacterium. Its description in RNAcentral is "partial 16S ribosomal RNA". It matches the Rfam family "Bacterial small subunit ribosomal RNA", at positions 118 to 347 of the family's 1533-position model. The record is from RNAcentral.